Molecule: ribosomal RNA, 255 nt
Filed under: uncultured bacterium
Lineage: Bacteria
Description: partial 16S ribosomal RNA
Rfam family: Bacterial small subunit ribosomal RNA
Source: RNAcentral
UACGAAGGGGGCGAGCGUUGUUCGGAUUUACUGGGCGUAAAGGGCGCGUAGGCGGCCCUGUUUGUCGCGUGUGAAAGCCCCGGGCUCAACCUGGGAACGGCGCGCGAUACGGCGGGGCUAGAGAUCGGGAGAGGAGCGUGGAAUUCCCAGUGUAGAGGUGAAAUUCGUAGAUAUUGGGAAGAACACCGGUGGCGAAGGCGGCGCUCUGGACCGAGACUGACGCUGAGGCGCGAAAAGCGUGGGGGAGCAAACAGG